RNAcentral lists this ribosomal RNA (384 nucleotides) under uncultured bacterium. Its description in RNAcentral is "bacterial SSU rRNA". It matches the Rfam family "Bacterial small subunit ribosomal RNA", at positions 790 to 1167 of the family's 1533-position model. The record is from RNAcentral.
GUAGUCCACGCCGUAAACGUUGGGCACUAGGUGUGGGGGGCCUUUUCCGGGUCUUCCGCGCCGUAGCUAACGCAUUAAGUGCCCCGCCUGGGGAGUACGGCCGCAAGGCUAAAACUCAAAGGAAUUGACGGGGGCCCGCACAAGCGGCGGAGCAUGCGGAUUAAUUCGAUGCAACGCGAAGAACCUUACCAAGGCUUGACAUGUGCCGGUCGGCUCCGGAGACGGGGUUUCCUCCUUGUGGGGCCGGUUCACAGGUGGUGCAUGGUUGUCGUCAGCUCGUGUCGUGAGAUGUUGGGUUAAGUCCCGCAACGAGCGCAACCCUUGUCCCGUGUUGCCAGCACGUUGUGGUGGGGACUCGCGGGAGACUGCCGGGGUCAACUCGGA